Molecule: transfer RNA, 77 nt
Filed under: Burkholderiaceae bacterium
Lineage: Bacteria; Pseudomonadati; Pseudomonadota; Betaproteobacteria; Burkholderiales; Burkholderiaceae
Description: tRNA-Met
Rfam family: tRNA
About the family: Transfer RNA (tRNA) molecules are approximately 80 nucleotides in length. Their secondary structure includes four short double-helical elements and three loops (D, anti-codon, and T loops). Further hydrogen bonds mediate the characteristic L-shaped molecular structure. tRNAs have two regions of fundamental functional importance: the anti-codon, which is responsible for specific mRNA codon recognition, and the 3' end, to which the tRNAs corresponding amino acid is attached (by aminoacyl-tRNA synthetases). tRNAs cope with the degeneracy of the genetic code in two manners: having more than one tRNA (with a specific anti-codon) for a particular amino acid; and 'wobble' base-pairing, i.e. permitting non-standard base-pairing at the 3rd anti-codon position.
Source: RNAcentral
GGCGCAUUAGCUCAGCCGGUUAGAGCGACGGAAUCAUAAUCCGCAGGUCCCCUGUUCGAAUCAGGGAUGCGCUACCA